Molecule: ribosomal RNA, 1347 nt
Filed under: Mycolicibacterium smegmatis
Lineage: Bacteria; Bacillati; Actinomycetota; Actinomycetes; Mycobacteriales; Mycobacteriaceae
Description: bacterial SSU rRNA
Rfam family: Bacterial small subunit ribosomal RNA
Source: RNAcentral
UUUCGGGGGUACUCGAGUGGCGAACGGGUGAGUAACACGUGGGUGAUCUGCCCUGCACUUUGGGAUAAGCCUGGGAAACUGGGUCUAAUACCGAAUACACCCUGCUGGUCGCAUGGCCUGGUAGGGGAAAGCUUUUGCGGUGUGGGAUGGGCCCGCGGCCUAUCAGCUUGUUGGUGGGGUGAUGGCCUACCAAGGCGACGACGGGUAGCCGGCCUGAGAGGGUGACCGGCCACACUGGGACUGAGAUACGGCCCAGACUCCUACGGGAGGCAGCAGUGGGGAAUAUUGCACAAUGGGCGCAAGCCUGAUGCAGCGACGCCGCGUGAGGGAUGACGGCCUUCGGGUUGUAAACCUCUUUCAGCACAGACGAAGCGCAAGUGACGGUAUGUGCAGAAGAAGGACCGGCCAACUACGUGCCAGCAGCCGCGGUAAUACGUAGGGUCCGAGCGUUGUCCGGAAUUACUGGGCGUAAAGAGCUCGUAGGUGGUUUGUCGCGUUGUUCGUGAAAACUCACAGCUUAACUGUGGGCGUGCGGGCGAUACGGGCAGACUAGAGUACUGCAGGGGAGACUGGAAUUCCUGGUGUAGCGGUGGAAUGCGCAGAUAUCAGGAGGAACACCGGUGGCGAAGGCGGGUCUCUGGGCAGUAACUGACGCUGAGGAGCGAAAGCGUGGGGAGCGAACAGGAUUAGAUACCCUGGUAGUCCACGCCGUAAACGGUGGGUACUAGGUGUGGGUUUCCUUCCUUGGGAUCCGUGCCGUAGCUAACGCAUUAAGUACCCCGCCUGGGGAGUACGGCCGCAAGGCUAAAACUCAAAGGAAUUGACGGGGGCCCGCACAAGCGGCGGAGCAUGUGGAUUAAUUCGAUGCAACGCGAAGAACCUUACCUGGGUUUGACAUGCACAGGACGCCGGCAGAGAUGUCGGUUCCCUUGUGGCCUGUGUGCAGGUGGUGCAUGGCUGUCGUCAGCUCGUGUCGUGAGAUGUUGGGUUAAGUCCCGCAACGAGCGCAACCCUUGUCUCAUGUUGCCAGCACGUUAUGGUGGGGACUCGUGAGAGACUGCCGGGGUCAACUCGGAGGAAGGUGGGGAUGACGUCAAGUCAUCAUGCCCCUUAUGUCCAGGGCUUCACACAUGCUACAAUGGCCGGUACAAAGGGCUGCGAUGCCGUGAGGUGGAGCGAAUCCUUUCAAAGCCGGUCUCAGUUCGGAUCGGGGUCUGCAACUCGACCCCGUGAAGUCGGAGUCGCUAGUAAUCGCAGAUCAGCAACGCUGCGGUGAAUACGUUCCCGGGCCUUGUACACACCGCCCGUCACGUCAUGAAAGUCGGUAACACCCGAAGCCGGUGGCCU